Molecule: non-coding RNA, 1717 nt
Filed under: Oryza sativa Indica Group (long-grained rice)
Lineage: Eukaryota; Viridiplantae; Streptophyta; Magnoliopsida; Poales; Poaceae
Description: Eukaryotic large subunit ribosomal RNA
Rfam family: Eukaryotic large subunit ribosomal RNA
Source: Rfam by way of RNAcentral
UGACCUCGGAUCAGGUAGGAAUACCCGCUGAACUUAAGCAUAUCAAUAAGCGGAGGAAAAGAAACCAACAGGGAUUCCCCUAGUAACGGCGAGUGAAGCGGGAACAGCUCAAAUUUGAAAUCUGGCCCUCGGGUCCGAGUUGUAAUUUGUAGAGGAUGCUUUUGGUGCGGUGCCUUCCGAGUUCCCUGGAACGGGACGCCUUAGAGGGUGAGAGCCCCGUACGGUUGGACGCCUAGCCUCUGUAAAGCUCCUUCGACGAGUCGAGUAGUUUGGGAAUGCUGCUCUAAAUGGGAGGUAUAUUUCUUCUAAAGCUAAAUACUGGCCAGAGACCGAUAGCGCACAAGUAGAGUGAUCGAAAGAUGAAAAGCACUUUGAAAAGAGGGUUAAAUAGCACGUGAAAUUGUUGAAAGGGAAGCGUUUAUCACCAGACUUUUUCUAGGGGGAUCAUCCGGUGUUCUCACCGGUGCACUUCCCCUAGUUGAGGCCAGCAUCGGUUUUCGGAGGGGGAUAAAAGUUUCGGGAAUGUGACUCCCCCGGGAGUGUUAUAGCCCGUUACAUAAUACCCUUCUGGGGACCGAGGUUCGCGCAUCUGCAAGGAUGCUGGCAUAAUGGUGAUCAACGACCCGUCUUGAAACACGGACCAAGGAGUCGAACAUUUAUGCGAGUGUUUGGGUGUCAAACCCUCACGCGUAAUGAAAGUGAACGGAGGUGAGAGCCCUUACGGGUGCAUCAUCGACCGAUCCUGAUGUCUUCGGAUGGAUUUGAGUAAGAGCAUAACUGUUCGGACCCGAAAGAUGGUGAACUAUGCGUGGAUAGGGUGAAGCCAGGAGAAAUCCUGGUGGAGGCUCGCAGCGGUUCUGACGUGCAAUCGAUCGUCAAAUCUGCGCAUGGGGGCGAAAGACUAAUCGAACCAUCUAGUAGCUGGUUACCGCCGAAGUUUCCCUCAGGAUAGCAGUGUUGUAUUCAGUUUUAUGAGGUAAAGCGAAUGAUUAGGGACUCGGGGGCGCUAUAUUGCCUUCAUCCAUUCUCAAACUUUAAAUAUGUAAGAAGCCCUUGUCGCUUAAUUGGACGUGGGCAUUCGAAUGUAUCAACACUAGUGGGCCAUUUUUGGUAAGCAGAACUGGCGAUGCGGGAUGAACCGAACGCGAGGUUAAGGUGCCGGAGUAGACGCUCAUCAGACACCACAAAAGGUGUUAGUACAUCUUGACAGCAGGACGGUGGCCAUGGAAGUCGGAAUCCGCUAAGGACUGUGUAACAACUCACCUGCCGAAUGUACUAGCCCUGAAAAUGGAUGGCGCUCAAGCGUCUCACCCAUACCUCGCCCUCAGGGUAGAAACGAUGCCCUGAGGAGUAGGCGGCCGUGGAGGUCAGUGACGAAGCCUAGGGCGUGAGCCCGGGUCGAACGGCCUCUAGUGCAGAUCUUGGUGGUAGUAGCAAAUACUUCAAUGAGAACUUGAAGGACCGAAGUGGGGAAAGGUUCCAUGUGAACAGCGGUUGGACAUGGGUUAGUCGAUCCUAAGCCAUAGGGAAGUUCCGUUUCAAAGGCGCACUUCGCGCCGUCUGGCGAAAGGGAAGCCGGUCAAUAUUCCGGCACCUGGAUGUGGGUUUUGCGCGGCAACGCAACUGAACGUGGAGACGACGGCGGGGGCCCCGGGCAGAGUUCUCUUUUCUUCUUAACGGUCUCUCACCCUGAAAUCGGUUUGUCCGGAGCUAGGGU